GAUGAAGAACGUAGCGAAAUGCGAUACUUGGUGUGAAUUGCAGAAUCCCGUGAACCAUCGAGUCUUUGAACGCAAGUUGCGCCCGAAGCCUCGGCUAAGGGCACGUCUGCCUGGGCGUCACGCAUCGCGUCUCCCCCAAACCGCCAAGGCGGAGGGGAAGGAAGAUGGCUUCCCGUGCCUCACCCGGCGCGGUUGGCCUAAAUUUGGAGCCCGCGGCACUUAGCUCUCGUGGCGAUAGGUGGUGAACAAGGCCUUGGCCGUGCAAACAACCCGCUGCGAAUCUCCAUGUCACGUGCGCUCGUCGGACCCUUUGAAGUUGCCUUCGGUGACUUAAAACCUUUGCGACCCCAGGUCAGGCGGGGCUACCCGCUGAAUUUAAGCAUAUCAAUAAGCGGAGGA
This 399-nucleotide unclassified non-coding RNA is filed under the name soil metagenome. RNAcentral describes it as "partial contains 5.8S ribosomal RNA, internal transcribed spacer 2, and large subunit ribosomal RNA". The stretch from base 1 to 120 matches the Rfam family "5.8S ribosomal RNA", at positions 35 to 154 of the family's 154-position model. The record is from RNAcentral.